AGAAUAGAAAAAGAAAGAAAAGAAACAGAAUAGAAGAGACGAAACAGAGAAAGAAACAGAGAGCAAAACGGGCAGAGAAGGAAGGAAAGAAAGAAAGAAAGAAAGAAAGAAAAAGAAAAAGGGAAAUUUAAGGUUUUAAGGUUCCAAGCUCAAUUGCUAAUGUCGUGCACGAGUCAUUGUCCGAGAAAGGAAAGGGGAAUGUGGACAAGAAGUGACUCGAGAGAAAUUUCGGUUAGUAAAAAAACCAGUGUUCGAUCCAGCAUCCAAAGUAAUCCCGACCUCAGAGACAUUUUAGUGAUGUACCUUUCUGUUGAUAAUGUGGCAUGUACCUAGGUAAUGUAUAAACCUAAGUGAUGUAUAGGGAUUAGUCAUUUUGAAUGUUGUAUCUAUGAGAUUGCUAAAGAAAGAUGUGUGAGUAUGUGAUAAUGUUUGGCUUUUAAAAUGGUUAAGUAUGAAAAUCAAGAAAGGGUAAACUUUGCAAAGAAACAGAAUUCAGGCAGCAACAGUGACGUAACUUUGAAAAAUCACCUAAGAUAGUAUAAAAUGAAUUAGAGGGUGAAUGAUAUAUUAAAUUAAAUCUUGUUAAGUCUAUUUUCAUAUAAAAAUAACGGUUUAGCAAAAAGAAUUUUAUAUUUUAAGAUAUGUGAAUUUUAGUGAGACAGGGUCAGAACUGUUUUUGGAGUCCCCUGUUCUAAGUUUAGAAAAUCACUAAAAAUGGUACAAAAAUAAUUAUGAGUUGUAGUUUAUAUGUAUAGAAUACUUAUUGAGUCUAUUUUCUGUAGAAACAAGUAAUAACUUCAUAUGACAAUCCUACAAUGAGAAAUUUUAUUUUUAGUGACAAGAGGUCAGGGCAGUCAAUUGGUGAAAUAGAGCUUACUUUAACUAAUAAACUGUACUAAUUGGCUGGACCAAAAAUUAUGAAAUUUUUAUGGUAGGAAGAUAUACGAGUCUAGUUUCAGGGAAAAUUUAUGGAAUUAAAUUUCGAGUUCCGUAUCUAAAAUUAUAAGUAAUUUAGUAACUGCUGCGCGAUUGGGCAGAUUUGUUGUAAACUGUUUGAUACUUCCGGUAAUGCCUCGUAACCCUAUUCCGACGACGGUUCGGGGUUAAGGAGUGUUACACGCUGUAUAAGGAGUGACCCGCACGGUGACCCGACCCGAGGGGAGGAUCCGCAUUUUUUGUUAGUGGGUUAUUUUCGCGGGCGGUCCUUCCACAUUUUUUGAAUGUUUCAAUUCAGUCCUAUUUUCAUUAUUUUAUUUAUUUAAAAUUAGCCUGCUUAAUUUUUUGCGCAUUACAAUUUAAUUCCUGGUAUGCUGCGAAGAAGACACAUUCCAGAGGAUGGUUUAUUUUUCCAUUUGGUCCUCCCCUCUUUAGCGUGUACUCAAUCUAGUCCCUAUUCGUUUUUUAGAAUCCAUUACGUUUUUUCCUCCAAAAUUUGUUCUGUUUUCAAUAUGGUCCAAUAUUUAAUUUAAUUUGUUUUUUAAUUAUUAUUUUAUUACUCUUUAGGGUUUUAAUGUUUAAGCUUUAUAUUAAUUUAAAUUCAUCAUUAACGUGCUUAUUUUAAAUUUAUCGUGUAUUAUUUUAUAUUUUUUAUAAAUUCAAUAAAAUUUGUACACAUUUUUUGUUUUUAAUUUUAAAGUCAUUUUUUAUAUGUUUCUAUGUUUUAAAGAUUUAU
Gossypium raimondii (Peruvian cotton) is the source of this 1672-nucleotide long non-coding RNA. RefSeq lists it as uncharacterized. Lineage: Eukaryota; Viridiplantae; Streptophyta; Magnoliopsida; Malvales; Malvaceae. The record is from RefSeq and is a predicted model, not a curated record. The transcript is spliced from 3 exons.